UUGUGUGGGAAGAAAAAUUGUACGGUUUAUCCUGUAUCACACUUCAGUCCAGUAGGUGGCAAUGAUACACCUAUACCUUGUUUGCUAACCGCCAUUAAAAGAACCAAAGAAGAAGACGAACACGUGUGUGAUUUCGAAUUCUGGUGGAGCCAAAUAGCAGAAAAUGAGACCACAAACUUUCGGAACUUUUGAAGCAUGUACCCAACAUUUGUCUUCAGAUGACCAGGAUUCUAUACAGACUGUUCUAACAAGGUUGGAGAUCAUGGCGACGAGCGUUCGCUGGAGCAGAGGGCGACUGCUUCAAUCUGAAGUGGUUGAUGAAAUGCUUUUGCUCAGCGAGUUAAUUCGGGAAUCCAACGAUCAGCAACAACAACGUGUUGCUCCUGGUUUCACCGUACCUCGAAUGGGAGGACAGACUGGAGGAAGGCCGGUUUACCAAAUCGCCCAAGAGCAGUUGCAGAUGUUGUUGUCCUAACUUCUCUGCUAAACAGAUUGCGGAGAUCUUGGGUGUCUCAAGAAGAACAGUGAACCGACGGUUAAGGUAUGUGUCAAUUGAAGGACUAGUUCAGGAGAGAUCUAAAUAAUGUCACCCCUUUCUCACUGAGCCAUACACAAUUUUGUUUUUCUUUACAAAGCACAUGAAACACUGCAGAAUUACCCUUUCUAUACAUUUCAUAAAGAAAUUGAUAUACUGUGAUAGCUAGAACUCUUUC
This is a long non-coding RNA of Osmerus eperlanus (European smelt), 713 nucleotides long. RefSeq lists it as uncharacterized. NCBI's taxonomy places the organism in Eukaryota, Metazoa, Chordata, Actinopteri, Osmeriformes, Osmeridae. The record is from RefSeq and is a predicted model, not a curated record. The transcript has 3 exons.